GGUUAAGCGACUAAGCGUACACGGUGGAUGCCCUGGCAGUCAGAGGCGAUGAAGGGCGUGCUAAUCUGCGAUAAGCGCCGGUAAGGUGAUAUGAACCGUUAUAACCGGCGAUACCCGAAUGGGGAAACCCAGUGUGACUCGUCACACUAUCAUUAACUGAAUCCAUAGGUUAAUGAGGCGAACCGGGGGAACUGAAACAUCUAAGUACCCCGAGGAAAAGAAAUCAACCGAGAUUCCCCCAGUAGCGGCGAGCGAACGGGGAGGAGCCCAGAGCCUGAAUCAGCAUGUGUGUUAGUGGAAGCGUCUGGAAAGUCGCGCGAUACAGGGUGACAGCCCCGUACACAAAAGCGCAUGUGUUGUGAGCUCGAUGAGUAGGGCGGGACACGUGGUAUCCUGUCUGAAUAUGGGGGGACCAUCCUCCAAGGCUAAAUACUCCUGACUGACCGAUAGUGAACCAGUACCGUGAGGGAAAGGCGAAAAGAACCCCGGCGAGGGGAGUGAAAAAGAACCUGAAACCGUGUACGUACAAGCAGUGGGAGCCCCACCACCAAAGCAUUCUCUGGUGUUGAAGGCCCUGCAAAGCAGCAUCGCGGUGGCGGAGCGUCGUUUGCGACGCCCAACACAAAAAACAAGCGGUGAGUGCUUUGGGGUGGGGUGACUGCGUACCUUUUGUAUAAUGGGUCAGCGACUUAUAUUCUGUAGCAAGGUUAACCGAAUAGGGGAGCCGUAGGGAAACCGAGUCUUAACUGGGCGUUAAGUUGCAGGGUAUAGACCCGAAACCCGGUGAUCUAGCCAUGGGCAGGUUGAAGGUUGGGUAACACUAACUGGAGGACCGAACCGACUAAUGUUGAAAAAUUAGCGGAUGACCUGUGGCUGGGGGUGAAAGGCCAAUCAAACCGGGAGAUAGCUGGUUCUCCCCGAAAGCUAUUUAGGUAGCGCCUCGUGAAUUCAUCUCCGGGGGUAGAGCACUGUUUCGGCUAGGGGGCCAUCCCGGCUUACCAACCCGAUGCAAACUGCGAAUACCGGAGAAUGUUAUCACGGGAGACACACGGCGGGUGCUAACGUCCGUCGUGAAGAGGGAAACAACCCAGACCGCCAGCUAAGGUCCCAAAGUCAUGGUUAAGUGGGAAACGAUGUGGGAAGGCCCAGACAGCCAGGAUGUUGGCUUAGAAGCAGCCAUCAUUUAAAGAAAGCGUAAUAGCUCACUGGUCGAGUCGGCCUGCGCGGAAGAUGUAACGGGGCUAAACCAUGCACCGAAGCUGCGGCAGCGACGCUGAUGCGUUGUUGGGUAGGGGAGCGUUCUGUAAGCCUGCGAAGGUGGCCUGUGAGGGUUGCUGGAGGUAUCAGAAGUGCGAAUGCUGACAUAAGUAACGAUAAAGCGGGUGAAAAGCCCGCUCGCCGGAAGACCAAGGGUUCCUGUCCAACGUUAAUCGGGGCAGGGUGAGUCGACCCCUAAGGCGAGGCCGAAAGGCGUAGUCGAUGGGAAACGGGUUAAUAUUCCCGUACUUGGUGUUACUGCGAAGGGGGGACGGAGAAGGCUAUGUUGGCCGGGCGACGGUUGUCCCGGUUUAAGCGUGUAGGUGUGUGUUCCAGGUAAAUCCGGUUCACUUUAACACUGAGGCGUGACGACGAGGCACUACGGUGCUGAAGCAACAAAUGCCCUGCUUCCAGGAAAAGCCUCUAAGCAUCAGGUAACAUCAAAUCGUACCCCAAACCGACACAGGUGGUCAGGUAGAGAAUACCAAGGCGCUUGAGAGAACUCGGGUGAAGGAACUAGGCAAAAUGGUGCCGUAACUUCGGGAGAAGGCACGCUGACACGUAGGUGAAGUGAUUUACUCAUGGAGCUGAAGUCAGUCGAAGAUACCAGCUGGCUGCAACUGUUUAUUAAAAACACAGCACUGUGCAAACACGAAAGUGGACGUAUACGGUGUGACGCCUGCCCGGUGCCGGAAGGUUAAUUGAUGGGGUCAGCGCAAGCGAAGCUCCUGAUCGAAGCCCCGGUAAACGGCGGCCGUAACUAUAACGGUCCUAAGGUAGCGAAAUUCCUUGUCGGGUAAGUUCCGACCUGCACGAAUGGCGUAAUGAUGGCCAGGCUGUCUCCACCCGAGACUCAGUGAAAUUGAACUCGCUGUGAAGAUGCAGUGUACCCGCGGCAAGACGGAAAGACCCCGUGAACCUUUACUAUAGCUUGACACUGAACAUUGAGCCUUGAUGUGUAGGAUAGGUGGGAGGCUUUGAAGUGUGGACGCCAGUCUGCAUGGAGCCGACCUUGAAAUACCACCCUUUAAUGUUUGAUGUUCUAACGUGGACCCGUAAUCCGGGUUGCGGACAGUGUCUGGUGGGUAGUUUGACUGGGGCGGUCUCCUCCUAAAGAGUAACGGAGGAGCACGAAGGUUGGCUAAUCCUGGUCGGACAUCAGGAGGUUAGUGCAAUGGCAUAAGCCAGCUUGACUGCGAGCGUGACGGCGCGAGCAGGUGCGAAAGCAGGUCAUAGUGAUCCGGUGGUUCUGAAUGGAAGGGCCAUCGCUCAACGGAUAAAAGGUACUCCGGGGAUAACAGGCUGAUACCGCCCAAGAGUUCAUAUCGACGGCGGUGUUUGGCACCUCGAUGUCGGCUCAUCACAUCCUGGGGCUGAAGUAGGUCCCAAGGGUAUGGCUGUUCGCCAUUUAAAGUGGUACGCGAGCUGGGUUUAGAACGUCGUGAGACAGUUCGGUCCCUAUCUGCCGUGGGCGCUGGAGAACUGAGGGGGGCUGCUCCUAGUACGAGAGGACCGGAGUGGACGCAUCACUGGUGUUCGGGUUGUCAUGCCAAUGGCACUGCCCGGUAGCUAAAUGCGGAAGAGAUAAGUGCUGAAAGCAUCUAAGCACGAAACUUGCCCCGAGAUGAGUUCUCCCUGAGACUUAGAGUCUCCUGAAGGAACGUUGAAGACGACGACGUUGAUAGGCCGGGUGUGUAAGCGCAGCGAUGCGUUGAGCUAACCGGUACUAAUGAACCGUGAGGCUUAACCUU
Molecule: ribosomal RNA, 3008 nt
Filed under: Salmonella enterica subsp. enterica
Lineage: Bacteria; Pseudomonadati; Pseudomonadota; Gammaproteobacteria; Enterobacterales; Enterobacteriaceae
Description: 23S ribosomal RNA
Rfam family: Bacterial large subunit ribosomal RNA
Source: RNAcentral